UUUGAGGUGAAAGGGAUGUCAGUAAUCAGCCGAGUGCCUGGUAACAUUGACCAUCUCUGUACUCUUCUCCUACCCUCAGCCACCAGCACGGCUCCAUCUGUCUUUCCUUUGGUUUCCUGCUGUGAUCCCAUCUCUGAAGGCUUAAGUUUCGUGGGCUGCCUUGUGUCUAGCUAUUUCCCUGAGCCAGUGACUGUGAGCUGGAACUCGGAUGUCCUGGAUGAGAAAAUAACAACUUUUCCAGCUGCCUAUGAUUCCAAAUCUGGACUCUACACCACUACCAGCCAACUUACCCUCUCAGACUUGAGUUCCCAGCAAUACACCUGCAGCGUGGACCACUUACCUACUAAGACCAAAGUCAAAACAUCUGUAUCUCUCCGAGCCUGUGGCCCCGUGACAAUCAUUCCACCCACGGUAAAGCUCUUCCACUCAUCCUGUGACCCACGAGGGGAUGCUCAUUCUACCAUCCAGCUGCUCUGCCUUGUCUCUGGCUUCUCCCCAGCCAAUGUCCGAGUGACUUGGCUAGUGGAUGGACAAGAAGCUGAGAGCCUCUUCCCCUACACAAACAGGCCCAAGAGGGAAGGAGGCCUGACCUUUUCUUUAGAAAGUGAACUCAACAUCACACAGGGCCAGUGGAUGUCAUCUAAGACCUACACCUGUCAAGUCACACACAAUGGCAGCAUCUAUGAAGACAAGGCCCAAAGGUGUUCAGACACUGACCCACGAGGCAUCGCUGCCUACCUCAGUCCACCUAGUGCCUUUGACCUUUAUGUCAGCAAGUCACCCAUGCUCACAUGCCUGAUAGUGGACCUGGCCAGUGCAGACAAUAUGAAGGUUUCUUGGUCCCGAGAAAGUGGAGGUCCCACCAGUCCAAGUUCACCAGUGGUAAAGGAGGAGUAUAAUGGCACUGUCACAGUAACUUCAACCUUGCCUGUCCAGACAAAUGACUGGGUGGAGGGUGACACCUAUACCUGCCAGUUGGAACACCCUGACCUACCCCGCCCCCUCAUCAGGACCAUCUCCAAGGCUCCAGGCAAACGCAUAGCCCCUGAGGUAUAUGUGUUCCCUCCAUCUGCAGAGGAAAAGGGAAACACCGUCUCCCUCACUUGCCUUGUUCAGAACUUCUUCCCUUCUGACAUCACUGUCCAAUGGCUGCUUGAUAACAAGGAUGACCACACUGGACACCACACUACCACCCGGCCCCACAAAGACCACGGACCCGACCCUUCCUUCUUCCUCUACAGCAGAAUGAUUGUCAACAAGUCUCAUUGGCAAGAAGGACAUGUUUACACCUGCCGUGUGGUGCAUGAAGCCCUACCUGGCACCCGCACCCUCGACAAAAGCCUUCAUUAUUCAGCUGGUAAUUGACUACCCUGACCCAGACCUUUACCCUUUCUAACCUCCUUUCCUACCUCCUCAUGUGGGGCCAUUCUGGGCCCCUAGAGGAGGAUAUAUCUGUCUGAUAUCUAAAUACCCCAACAUCUGACCCAAUAAAUAUAUAUGUCCAUGUCUACAUCUAA
This is a non-coding RNA of Phascolarctos cinereus (koala), 1517 nucleotides long. The record is from the annotation of a RefSeq genome assembly. NCBI's taxonomy places the organism in Eukaryota, Metazoa, Chordata, Mammalia, Diprotodontia, Phascolarctidae.